AUUGAACGCUGGCGGCAGGCCUAACACAUGCAAGUCGAACGGUAACAGGGAUCUGCUUGCUGAUUCGCUGACGAGUGGCGGACGGGUGAGUAAUGUCUGGGAAACUGCCUGAUGGAGGGGGAUAACUACUGGAAACGGUAACUAAUACCGCAUAACGUCGCAAGACCAGAGAGGGGGACCUUCGGGCCUCUUGCCAUCGGCUGUGCCCAGAUGGGAUUAUCGUGUGGGUGGGGUAACGGCCCACCUAGGCGACGAUCCGGAGCUGGUCGGAGAGGAUGAGCAGACACAAGGGAAGUGAGACAGGGCACAGACGCCUACGGGAGGGAGCAGUGGGGAAUAUUGGACAAGGGGCGAAAGCAUGAGAAAGCAAGGGCGCGUGUGUGAGGAAGGACUUCGGGUUGGAAAGAAGGUGUGGCGGGAAAGAAGGGGACUAGGCGAAUACCACGGGGCAAUGAGGGUACCCACAGAAUAAGCAACGGCUAACUAAGUG
This 490-nucleotide ribosomal RNA is filed under the name uncultured bacterium. Its description in RNAcentral is "partial 16S ribosomal RNA". It matches the Rfam family "Bacterial small subunit ribosomal RNA", at positions 29 to 507 of the family's 1533-position model. The record is from RNAcentral.